Molecule: long non-coding RNA, 428 nt
Filed under: Physcomitrium patens
Lineage: Eukaryota; Viridiplantae; Streptophyta; Bryopsida; Funariales; Funariaceae
Description: long non-coding RNA (PPAT_LNC014027)
Source: RNAcentral
CUAAGAAAUCCUAGUAGAUACUUUAAACCCUAAUUUACAAGCACCUAAGCACUAUUUUCUUCAUAUCUCAAGAAUCCAAUACUCAAAUGUCAUUAAACUUAUGUAAAAAGUUUAUUAACAUGAAAUUAUACAUUCUCUAAAAUUUUGAGCCAAAAAUUGUCAAAUUGCUCAACAUUUAGUUCAAGACACAACCACUAGUAAAUUUGAUCACUUACUACACUUAGAUUGCAAACGCUGACUUCAAAAUCCAAUACCUCCUUCAUUCCAACUUGGAAUCCAAAAAACAAUAUAAAAAAAGUGUAGCCGCAAAAGUGCUCUCUCCAAUCAUAGUCGCCGAUCCUCGAAUGCCAUUCGUAUACGUGCGUUAUGACAAAAAGAGUGAUAGUAGCUCCCAAAUCAACACCUUAACUUUGAGCACUUGUAUCUCC